This 164-nucleotide ribosomal RNA is filed under the name Phlomis purpurea. RNAcentral's name for it is "5.8S ribosoma RNA". It matches the Rfam family "5.8S ribosomal RNA". Rfam says of the family: 5.8S ribosomal RNA (5.8S rRNA) is a component of the large subunit of the eukaryotic ribosome. It is transcribed by RNA polymerase I as part of the 45S precursor that also contains 18S and 28S rRNA. The record is from RNAcentral. Lineage: Eukaryota; Viridiplantae; Streptophyta; Magnoliopsida; Lamiales; Lamiaceae.
UAAACGACUCUCGGCAACGGAUAUCUCGGCUCUCGCAUCGAUGAAAAACGUAGCGAAAUGCGAUACUUGGUGUGAAUUGCAAAAUCCCGUGAACCAUCGAGUCUUUGAACGCAAGUUGCGCCCGAAGCCUUUAGGCCGAGGGCACGUCUGCCUGGGCGUCACGC